RNAcentral lists this long non-coding RNA (2161 nucleotides) under Sus scrofa (pig). Its description in RNAcentral is "lncRNA (ENSSSCG00025067475.1)". Lineage: Eukaryota; Metazoa; Chordata; Mammalia; Artiodactyla; Suidae. The record is from RNAcentral.
GGGGGACGUGUGGGAGUGUUUCGGGAACCUAGUCCUGCAAGAAAACGGCAGGGACCGCAAAGUGGAGAUGUUGCAAAGGAGGCCAUUCGUGUUUUCCAUCUGGGCCCAAGGUUGAACUUGGCCUCUGCCGACAGUGGUCAAGUUACAUUAACGGGUCAGAGACACUCCAGCUCCCGGGCCCCUUCUCAGCCGGGUCUGUGCCCACACCUGGUGCCAGCCCCACAUGACUCUAAGGGCCCAGAGCCACGCAGCCUCCAUCCCCCAGGGCUGUGCCAGCGAAACGAGCCAACGCGUUGUGCUUCCACAAAUGAUUCUUCCAGAGUUCCCAUCGUGGCACAGUGGUUAGCAAAUCCGACUAGGAACCAUGAGGUUGCGGGUUCGUUCCCUGGCCUCGCUCAGUGGGUUGGGGAUCCGGCGUUGCCAUGAGCCGUGGUGUAGGUCACAGACGCAGCUCAGAUCCCGUGUUGCUGUGGCUGUGGUGUAGGCCGGCGGCUACAGCUGAUUGGACCCCUAGCCUGGGAACCUCCAUAUGCUGCGGGAGCAGCUCAACAAAAGGCAAAAAGACAAAAAAAAAAAAAAUUAUUCUUCUGACAGAUUCUAAGCACAUGCAGGUCCUCGUCCCUUGGCUCCAGCGAUCACCGAAUCGCAGCCAGUCUGGUCCAGUCGUCCCCCUGCAUCUCCCUCGCUCAGCACCACUUCGCAGAGACCCCAAGCCUCAUCCAAUGUCGGGUCGUGUCUAAGAGAUGUGAACUUGGACAUGUAAAGGCAGACGUCCGUGGUCACAUGUCAGCUGUGGUUCCUCAGCAUCGAGAGCCUCUUCCCUCACGUUUCUCAUCAUCUCUUCAGCGUCAUCUUAUUUAUUCCAAGAUUGGUGUCUUCGAGCCGUGGAUCCAGGGAAGGGUCACGUGUUGCAUAUUCUGUCAAAUACGUGUUUAAUCCACACCCCCCCCUUCCCUACAGAUGGAUUCCCUGAAGAACCUGGGUUGUUUGCCCGUGGAGUUUGCCUCGAUUUUGACGGAGUCACGGUGGUUAACGUAUUUCUCUGCUAAACGGGGGGCGGACUCGGCCAGCGCUUGUGUUGAGCACACGGUGCUCAUCGCAUGGAAAUUCUCGGGGCUUCCCUCUCCGCCCGUUUCCCUGUGUCAGGCGAGGCCGGCCCCCGCACCCAGAGCCACAUGGAGGAGGAUACGGAGCCGGUGGCCGAGAGGAGCCCAGCCGCCCGUUGCCCCGAGUACCGGCUCAGAGCCACCACCUCGGCCCACCUCCUCGGCUGUAAACACCACCUUAGAAACACCUCGACUGCUGACGUGGUCGGAAAGGGUGCUUUUAAAACUGUGAAGACGGCGUGAAUUCCCUUCAGAGACGUUUUUAUCCUGGCAGGAAAACGCAGGGGUGAGGGUUUUGUUUUUCUGAAACCUCGUGUCUUGAAGCCUGUUCCGCACAAAUGCAGCACGUCCCAGCCCUGCCAGGUGCAAGCUGUUGGGGGAGCGUGGGGUGGGGUGUGGAGACCCCCCUGAAAUCCAAGACCGGUGGGAACUCAUUGUUUCCCGCCUUUGCCCUCGUCUUGAGAAGAGGCGGGCAAGCUCGUCGAGGGCCAGCGUGUGUUCGUGCAAACAGUGCGUCACCUGCAGGAGGGUGAGGGGUGCUCAGGAAUGCGCCGCAGAUGCAAACACCUCGGGGGUUUCACGCCUUGGGCGCUGCCACCCGGGUCAGGCGGCUGGACCCUUGGCCGCCGAGUCAGGCCGCGUGACGGGUGAGGCGCAGGCUGUAAAUGGCGCCCGUCUUCUUGUUUCGGGUCCUUGGAAAUGAUGGCUUUUCCUGAGAAGAACAGUUAUCAGAGAAAAAUGCUUGCUUGGAGUUCUGGAAAGGAAAGAAAGACAAGACAGUGAGUGCGACAGGGUGAAGAGGAGUUUGCACAGGAAAGGCUGGCCGUAUUUUGCCAAAACGAUGGCAUUUCUGUCAUCUGUGUCCAGCACACUUCACUUAUCUGGAAGACGCGGAGCCAUCAAAAAAAGUCGGGAAUUCCAAGCCAUGACCUGCCGAGGGCACAGAUGGUAACAUUUGGGAUGGUUUUAGUGUAAAAAAUGUGUUUAUAGAAUCUGCCUUAAAAUCUCCAGGCUGACAGUGAGCUUAAUAAAAAUAUCCAGCCGGAUUUUUAGCA